RNAcentral lists this ribosomal RNA (402 nucleotides) under Fusobacteriota bacterium. Its description in RNAcentral is "Fusobacteria bacterium partial 16S ribosomal RNA". It matches the Rfam family "Bacterial small subunit ribosomal RNA", at positions 355 to 776 of the family's 1533-position model. Lineage: Bacteria; Fusobacteriati; Fusobacteriota. The record is from RNAcentral.
UGGGGAAUUUUGCACAAUGGGGGAAACCCUGAUGCAGCGACGCCGCGUGAUUUAGAAGGCCUUCGGGUUGUAAAAAUCUUUUCUAUGGGAAGAAAAUGACAGUACCAUAGGAAUAAGGACCGGCUAAUUACGUGCCAGCAGCCGCGGUAAUACGUAAGGUCCGAGCGUUGUCCGGAAUCAUUGGGCGUAAAGGGUACGUAGGCGGGUAAGCAAGUUAGAAGUGAAAUCCUAUAGCUCAACUAUAGUAAGCUUUUAAAACUGCUCAUCUUGAGGUAUGGAAGGGAGAGUGGAAUUCCGAGUGUAGCGGUGAAAUGCGCAGAUAUUAGGAGGAAUACCGGUGGCGAAGGCGACUUUCUGGCCAUAACCUGACGCUGAGGUACGAAAGCGUGGGUAGCAAACAGG